AGUGAACGCUGGCGGUAGGCCUAACACAUGCAAGUCGAACGGCAGCACAGUAAGAGCUUGCUCUUACGGGUGGCGAGUGGCGGACGGGUGAGGAAUACAUCCGAAUCUACUUUUUCGUGGGGGAUAACGUAGGGAAACUUACGCUAAUACCGCAUACGACCUACGGGUGAAAGCAGGGGAUCUUCGGACCUUGCGCGAUUGAAUGAGCCGAUGUCGGAUUAGCUAGUUGGCGGGGUAAAGGCCCACCAAGGCGACGAUCCGUAGCUGGUCUGAGAGGAUGAUCAGCCACACUGGAACUGAGACACGGUCCAGACUCCUACGGGAGGCAGCAGUGGGGAAUAUUGGACAAUGGGCGCAAGCCUGAUCCAGCCAUACCGCGUGGGUGAAGAAGGCCUUCGGGUUGUAAAGCCCUUUUGUUGGGAAAGAAAAGCAGCAGGUUAAUACCCCGCUGUUCUGACAGUACCCAAAGAAUAAGCACCGGCUAACUUCGUG
RNAcentral lists this ribosomal RNA (492 nucleotides) under uncultured bacterium. RNAcentral describes it as "partial 16S ribosomal RNA". It matches the Rfam family "Bacterial small subunit ribosomal RNA", at positions 29 to 507 of the family's 1533-position model. The record is from RNAcentral.